GAUGAACGCUGGCGGCGUGCCUAAUACAUGCAAGUCGAGCGAACAGACGAGGAGCUUGCUCCUCUGACGUUAGCGGCGGACGGGUGAGUAACACGUGGAUAACCUACCUAUAAGACUGGGAUAACUUCGGGAAACCGGAGCUAAUACCGGAUAACAUAUUGAACCGCAUGGUUCAAUAGUGAAAGACGGUUUUGCUGUCACUUAUAGAUGGAUCCGCGCCGCAUUAGCUAGUUGGUAAGGUAACGGCUUACCAAGGCAACGAUGCGUAGCCGACCUGAGAGGGUGAUCGGCCACACAGGAACUGAGACACGGUCCAGACUCCUACGGGAGGCAGCAGUAGGGAAUCUUCCGCAAUGGGCGAAAGCCUGACGGAGCAACGCCGCGUGAGUGAUGAAGGUCUUCGGAUCGUAAAACUCUGUUAUUAGGGAAGAACAAAUGUGUAAGUAACUAUGCACGUCUUGACGGUACCUAAUCAGAAAGCCACGGCUAACUACGUG
RNAcentral lists this ribosomal RNA (497 nucleotides) under uncultured bacterium. Its description in RNAcentral is "partial 16S ribosomal RNA". It matches the Rfam family "Bacterial small subunit ribosomal RNA", at positions 28 to 507 of the family's 1533-position model. The record is from RNAcentral.